Small nuclear RNA from Lynx canadensis (Canada lynx), 107 nucleotides. The record is from Ensembl. NCBI's taxonomy places the organism in Eukaryota, Metazoa, Chordata, Mammalia, Carnivora, Felidae.
AUGCUCGCUUCGGCAGCACAUGUUCUAAAAUUGGAAUGAUACAGAGAAGAUUAGCAUGGCCCCUGCAAAAGGAUGACACGCAAAUUCAUGACGCUUCCACAUUUUUU